RNAcentral lists this unclassified non-coding RNA (235 nucleotides) under Hevea brasiliensis (rubber tree). The record is from RNAcentral. Lineage: Eukaryota; Viridiplantae; Streptophyta; Magnoliopsida; Malpighiales; Euphorbiaceae.
GUUUACGUAUUAGAGCCGCCGACGAGGGGGAAGGUCGUGUUGAAUACCACCUGUGGACCGCUCGAUAUCGAGCUCUGGCCUAAGGAGGCUCCCAAAGCCGUCAGAAAUUUCGUUCAGCUCUGUCUUGAAGGCUACUACGACAACACCAUCUUUCACCGGAUUAUCAAGGACUUCAUUGUUCAGGGCGGCGAUCCUACCGGUAGCGGCACAGGUGGUGAAAGCAUAUAUGGGGGCG